AAAGGCGGAGGCAGGUUGGGAGGGGAGGACGGCGGCUUGCUCUGGGGCUGCCGCGUUAUCCAGGAAUGGAGUGGUAGGUCAGGUGGGCGCCUAGGACAAGAGAGGAUCUUCCUGGCCCAGGGAUCGCACCUGUGUCUCCCUCGUUGCAGGCAGAUUCUUUACCCUCUGAGCCAUGAGGGAAGCCCAAGGAGACACAGAGAAGUUAGUCUUGGUCCCUGACUUUGAGAUGCUUGUAUGAAUGUGCACAGCUGGCAGCAUGGCACAGAUGACCAGUCCGGUUACCGUAUUCCGGGGCUCUUCUUCCCAAAUUAUGUUCAACAUGCUCUGCCAGCAUCUUGGUGAGAGAUGGAAGGGAAGGAGGAGAAAGAGAUGCUGCUCCCCCAGGGAACUCCACUCAGAGAAGAGACCUGAAAUUAGGCAAACGAUGACAGAGCAUAUGUCAAUGAAUGCUUGCUUCCAGGCUCUGU
This is a long non-coding RNA of Bos taurus (domestic cattle), 467 nucleotides long. Lineage: Eukaryota; Metazoa; Chordata; Mammalia; Artiodactyla; Bovidae. The record is from Ensembl.